Molecule: long non-coding RNA, 5146 nt
Filed under: Brassica napus (rape)
Lineage: Eukaryota; Viridiplantae; Streptophyta; Magnoliopsida; Brassicales; Brassicaceae
Description: long non-coding RNA (BNAP_LNC020066)
Source: RNAcentral
CCUGAGUUUGCAAAACAGACUCAUUAAAAGACAAGGAUGUUGAUGAUGGCAUGAAAGAGAGAGAGAGAGAGAGAGAGAGUGGGGAAAAGCUAAACCUCUCUGGUGUAGAACUUGACAGCAAAACCACGAGGAUCUCUGAGAGUCUCGGGGCUGCCGCGCUCGUGGAUCACAGUAGAGAAACGAACAAUGACAGGAGUCUGGACGCCAGGUCCUCGGAGAAAAUCAGCACAGGUAAGGUGGGUAAUGUCAUGGGUGACUUCAAAGAAACCUUUAGCACUAGCACCUCUGGCAUGAACAACUCUUUCAGGAAUCCGCUCCCUGUCAAAGUUGGCUAAUUUCUCAAGCAGAUGAUAGUCUUCCAGAAGAAUAGGGCCUGGCAAGUUACAAAAAUUAUAGCUUUCACAAGAAAGCUGAUUCACAAAAGUCCAAAAAAUGAAUGGAGACAUUCUCAUUUAAAUGUUUACUGCAAGAGAUAAGAAAGACGCACCUCUGGUUCCAGCAGUCAAAGAGGAGUUGUUGUUCCAGACAGGAGCACCCGAGUUUGUCGUGAAGAAGGGCGAAUCAUGAGCGCUUGAAGGACGAACCUGCACCCCCAAACGAUUGAUGAUAACAUGACAGAAUAAUAAACAAAUCAAGAGGGUCCAGAAGCAUCCGAGGCCGAAACCCUAGACAUUGCCGCGGCCGAUCCUGAAACCCUAGAGAUGGCCGUGACCGAACCUAAGGCCUUAGACAGGGCCGAGGAACCUAAUGUGCCUAAUACUGAUGCUUGGGACGCUAAGCUUCAUGGUACUGAUGGUCCUGAUAAUAAUGAGAUCUCAAUAAAUUAUGUCUUGUCUGGGAUACAAUAGAACAGAAAGAAUGUCGACAUUGUUGAUAUAUUUGCAUAUAAGGUAGCACUUGAACUUAUGGAUUUAAACGAGGAUCAUGAACCCACGUCUAUUUAUGAGUGCACUCAACGAUCAGAUUGGAUCAAAUGGAAAGAAGCUAUAAACGUGGAGUUAAAUUCUUUAAAGAAAAGAGGUGUCUUCGGUCCUAUAAUCCGGACACCCUAUGAUGUCAAACCAGUUGGAUACAAAUUGGUCUUUGUGAGGAAAAGAAACGAACAUGGUGAAGUAGUGAGAUAUAAAGCAUGGCUUGUUGCACAAGGAUUCUCACAGAGACCAGAAAUAGACUAUGAGGAGACAUACUCCCCUGUGGUGGAUGCUACUACUUUUAGAUUCCUGAUAAGUCUGGCUAUAAGAGAAAACUUAGACUUGCGGUUAAUGGAUGUAGUAACUGCAUACUUAUAUGGUUCACUGGAUAAUGAGAUAUAUAUGAAAGUACCAGAGGGGUAUUGAAUUGAAAAACAAAGCAAGUUCUCGAGAACAAUAUUGUAUAAAGUUGAACAAAUCACUUUAUGAAUUGAAACAAUCAGGUCGAAUGUGGUACAAUAGACUAAGUGAGUACCUAGUGAAAGAGGGCUAUAAGAAUGACCUCUAUGUUUUUUUAUAAAGAAAUUCGACAAUAAAGGAUUUGUGAUCAUAGCAGUGUAUGUUGAUGAUUUGAAUAUCCUAGGAACCUCUGGAGAGAUUUCCCAAACAGUUGAAUAUCUUAAGAAAGAAUUUGAGAUGAAAGAUCUUGGAAAAACAAAGUUCUGUUUGGGAUUACAGCUUGUGUACAUUAGAGAUGGAAUCCUUGUGCAUCAAAUGACAUAUACAGAGAAAGUACUCAAAAGAUUCAAUAUGGCCGAGUCUCACUCAUUGUCUAGCCCCAUGGUCGUGAGGUCUCUCGGACUGGACACAGAUCCGUUCGGCCCUAAGAAUGACGAUGAAGAUGUCCUUGGUCCCGAAGUGCCAUAUCUCAGUGCCAUUGGAGCUUUGAUGCAUCUGACUAGUCACACACGGCCAGACAUAUGCUUUGCAGUGAACCUACUAUCUAGGUUUAGCUCUUGUCCGACCUAAAGGCACUAGAAUGAGAUUAAACAUAUACUUCGUUACCUGCAAGGAACGAAAGACUUGUGUUUAUUUUAUACUAACCAAAACAAAGAAGGUUUAGUUGGUUUUGCUAAUGCAGGUUAUCUUUCGUAUCCACACAAUGCUCAAUCACAGACAUGCUAUGUGUUCACACAUGGUGGAACGGCCAUAUCAUGGCGUUCCAUGAAACAGACGAUCACGGCCACAUCUUCAAACCAUUCGGAGAUCUUAGCUAUUCAUGAAGCCAGCCGCGAGUGUGUUUGGUUGAGGUCCAUGACCCAACAUGUUCGAGUUGAUUGUGGGAUGUCCGAAGGUAAGGAUGCACCAACCGUGAUGUAUGAAGACAAUGCAGCAUGCAUUGUUCAGCUCAAGGACGGUUACAUCAAAGGAGAUAGGACGAAGCACAUCCCACCCAAGUUCUUCUUCACGUAUGAACUUCAGAAAGCCGGCGAGGUUCAAGUGGUCCAAAUGCGUUCCAGUGACAACUCAGCUGAUCUAUUUACCAAGUCACUUCCUACCUCGACGUUCAGGAAGCUCAUGUAUCAGAUAGGUAUACGUAGACUGAAAGACCUUCAGUGAUGUUCAUAACAGGGGGAAUAAUACGUGUUGUACUCUUUUUUCUCCACCAUGAUUUUGUCCCAUUGGGUUUUCCUGGUAAGAUUUUAAUGAGGCAAUAUCCAAAGCGUAUUACGAACUCUGUAUGGUUAUGACAUCCAAGGAAGAGUUUUAUAAAUCAUAUUGUGGAUGUUCAUAACCGGUCCGGUCCAUAACCGGUUCAUACCGUUAGAGAGAGAGAGACGGCUAGAGAGAGAGUUGGCCACAUUUGGUUUUUCUUUUUCUUUAUUGGUUUAUGAUUUGUACUAUUUUUUUUUCUAGUCUUUCAAUUAUUCUAUGACGGUGUAAUUCUCUAUAUAUAAAUGGUUCAUUAUGUUUAAAGAUUAAUAAGAAUAUAGAGAUUUUAUUCUCCAAGUUUCACGACAAAAAACCUUUUCUUUAAUCAUUGAUCGUGCGUCUGACAUUAGACCACAAUAAAAUUACAACUAUAAGCAGCUCACGUCAUAGAUGCAAAUCUGGAGGAAAUAAUAAGCACACUUAAAAUUUAAUCCAGAGCAAAAUAUAAUAACAAAUAAAUACCAUUUCGAGUAGAACUAGUUAUGGAUUAUAUAUAUCACGUUAUAAGCUUACAUAGCUUUUUAUUAUUUGCCUUAGAAAAUAUUCGUUGACAUUGUGAAUAGAAAGAUUACAACAUGUACUAGAAGUACCCUUCCUUAAACAUUUCAUUGUCACGGUUUAUUUAAAUGAACUAUUACCAAAGAGCUUACAUAGAAACCAAACCACAAUAAAAGAUCACUUAGUCUUUCGAGAUGAUACCAUUCAGUACUUAGGCCUCACGUUAAGACGGGAAGCUAGUUUCUGUCCCAGCGAUUUGUCUGCCUGAGUCCAGUAAGAUAUCCAAAUGCUGCGAAUCUCGUGCGUCACGCGAGGCUCCGCAAGUGCUUCAACAAAACGCUUCACGAAACGCUCUUGCCUUUUACCCGGAAAGAAAAAAAAACAAUUAGAAUUUUAUGAAAUGUGUGAAGCUUUGUGGAUUUUGCAAUGAGUUUUGUAGUGUCUACCUGUCUGCGUCCCAGGACCUGUAUCGUUCCCCUGGCUGCUGAAAGUUGUUCUCCUUCUCAAUCAUGCACUGUCGUAUACAGAAGAUAGUAUAAAAAACAUUUUAAUCUCACAAUGUUAAAAGGAUUUGUGUCAAGGCAUGGAGCGGAAUAUGACCUUCUCACGAUUUCCAGAGCAGAAAACAGGAGUUGUUGGGUAUUUGUCAGCAUGGCGAACCGGAUUCAACCUUGAAGGGAAGUAAUUAACCUGGAAAGCAACUCAACCGGUUCAUAUAAUCAAACUAUAAAAAAUAAGAUUGUGAAUAAGCGUUUGAAUGAGCUGAUUACCUCCUCAUCUCGGUGCAUGAAGUUCAUGAAACCUUCAUGGUGAUUGUUGUGGUGAGCACAUUUUGGAGCAUUAACCGGCAGCUGCAGAUAGUUUGGUCCAAGACGGUGUCUCUGACUAUCAGCGUAGGAGAAGAUCCUGGUCUGGAGCAGCUUAUCAUCUGAGUAAUGGACGCCAGGAACGACAAUAGCAGGGCAGAAAGCAAUCUGCUCAUUCUCGUUAAAGAAGUUGUCGAUGUUUUUGUUCAGCACCAAGCGGCCAACAGGCUGCAGAGGCAAGAUAUCUUCAGGCCAGAUCUUGGUGACAUCAAGAGGGUCGAAGUCAAACUUGUCUUCAUGAGCAGGAUCCAUCACUUGAACGAAGAGAUUCCACUCUGGAUAGUUCCCAGAAGCGAUUGAGUCAUAGAGAUCCUUGGUUGCAUGGCUGUGGUUGGAUCCUCCGACCUUGAUAGCUUCCUCAUCAAGGAGGCAUUUAACCCCACAAGACGGUUUCCAGUGGAACUUGACGUAGUGAGCUUUUCCGGCUUUGUUGAUAAGCAUGUAGGUGUUGACACCAAAGCCAUCCAUGUGCCUGUAGUCCUGUGGGAUACCGAGAUCGUCAAAGAGGAACGAAAACAUGUGAAGACUCUCAGGGUGGUGUGAGAAGAAGUCCAGUAUCCUCCAGUUCUCCUGAAUGUGGGAUUUGGGGUUCGGUUUCAAGGCGUGGACCAUGUCAGGGAACUUCAUCCCGUCGCGGACGAAGAAGACAGGGAAGUUGUUGCCAACAAGAUCAAAGUUCCCCUGAGUUUGCAAAACAGACUCAUUAAAAGACAAGGAUGUUGAUGAUGGCAUGAAAGAGAGAGAGAGAGAGAGAGAGAGUGGGGAAAAGCUAAACCUCUCUGGUGUAGAACUUGACAGCAAAACCACGAGGAUCUCUGAGAGUCUCGGGGCUGCCGCGCUCGUGGAUCACAGUAGAGAAACGAACAAUGACAGGAGUCUGGACGCCAGGUCCUCGGAGAAAAUCAGCACAGGUAAGGUGGGUAAUGUCAUGGGUGACUUCAAAGAAACCUUUAGCACUAGCACCUCUGGCAUGAACAACUCUUUCAGGAAUCCGCUCCCUGUCAAAGUUGGCUAAUUUCUCAAGCAGAUGAUAGUCUUCCAGAAGAAUAGGGCCUGGCAAGUUACAAAAAUUAUAGCUUUCACAAGAAAGCUGAUUCACAAAAGUCCAAAAAAUGAAUGGAGACAUUCUCAUUUAAAUGUUUACUGCAAGAGAUAAGA